Long non-coding RNA from Panicum virgatum (switchgrass), 2958 nucleotides. RefSeq lists it as uncharacterized. The record is from RefSeq and is a predicted model, not a curated record. Lineage: Eukaryota; Viridiplantae; Streptophyta; Magnoliopsida; Poales; Poaceae. The transcript is spliced from 4 exons.
UCGCUCGCCGUCCUGCUCGCGCCGACGCCGCCCCUCUCGCGCCGCCCUCGGUCCUUGCGUCCGUCUCGCCCAACGCGAACCGGCAGUUCCCCGCCUCCCCGUCCCUCGCCCUCCCCGUCUCGCCCGCCGACGCCGCCGCUCCCGCGUCGCCCUCGGCCCUCGCGUCCGUCUCGCCCGCCGACGCCGCCGCCACGCCCUCGCGGCCCUCGCUGCCCUCGCCUCCCCGUCGCGCUGCCGGCCUCCGCCAGCUCGGCGCCGCCAACUCGCGCGCCUCCUCCGCGAACUCCACGACACCGACCCGCGGGCCUCAGCCGGUAGCGCGCGACAUCGAGCCGGCGCGCCCCUACUCGGGUGGCACCCCUCCUCGGACAUCGAGGGGCCGCCGAGCCGCUCGACUCCGGCGCCAGCUCGACGCCGUGGGUGAACGAGAACGCCGCUCCGCUCUGGCGUCACUGCGCCCCACUGUGGCGUCCCCGACGUGCCUCCACACCGAGUAGAUCUGUGUUGUUGCUGUUGCUGUGGCCAGCUUGCUUAAUACAACUCUUGUGAACCUAACACUUCGUCUGAAUAGUGCUUAGCGUGAUUCUAGGCUGAGGACUUUGAGGAUACGAGAUUACUGACCAAGCUUAUAGUUCAUUGCUUGUGAGUUGUCUGCUAAAAGGUAUGUGAUGCCCUUUCUUCUCUGCUUCUACCAUCAAUUCUCAGAAAAUGUGUUUCUGUGAUGUUCUAUUGAACUAUCAUGUUUGAUUGGAGCUAACUUGCCAGUCGGUAUCUAAGGCAUCUGUCUCUCCGUAGAGAAUGUCCUUCGGAACUGCAUCGCCAAGCUAUCACCAGGCGAGUUCCGUGAUUUUGCUGUCUUCUUUCCAUGUCCCUGGCUAAACUGAUUUAAAAUUAGCAGGAACUGCUAAAUCUCCCACCAAAAUCUGGUACUUGUGCGUUGACAAUUUUCUCUGCUGAGCUGUCUGCCUUCUAAACAAAUCUCCCUAUUACUGAAUAUUCUGUGAGUACCUGAUGGUUAAUAUGAUUUCUGUGUAGUCUUAUCAUCUGGGAGGGGCGGGAGCUCUAAUAAUGCAGGGUCGAUGUGUUGUUUCAAUUUUACUGAUGCCACGCUUUCUCUGCAUUCUUUAUUUAUCUGUUGUUUCCUCUUAUUAGUUGUACUUAUUUCAGGGCAAGACUUGGCUCCAUUGGGUUAAGCAACCAGUGCCAUGACAUUAUCAGUAUGAUAAAGAUUUUUUACAUGCAAUUAUACAAACAUCUGAAUUAUGGUUGGGAAUAUUAUUUUUGGACCACAUUGGAGACCGAAGUCACUAAAUUGUAUAGGUAAUCUUAAAGCGUUGAUGUUAGAAGCAUUCAUUCAGGGUCCAUGCCGAUCCUACAGCCACACACAAAAGUUGAGAGUUUGAGAUCUCACCCCAUGCUGAAGAAUAGUAUCUAUUUUACAAAGAUUCCUACGUUUGUAUUUACAAAUAAUAUUGUUCUGUUGCAGAAUUCUAGAAACGACAAGAACAACAACUUAGCCACAAGAGUGGGAGAUUGCUUCAACCAACAUUUUUUUAUUUUACCAUUGAUAUCAUUUGAGCUCAGUUCUUCUUUGCAUCUUGCGCCCUUGCCAUUUAGUAUGUACACAUAAUUUUUUCAGCACCCACUUAACUGAUGGAUUUCAGCAGUCGCAGUAGUCUAUUUCCCUUCUGAAAUUUGCUAUGCAAGCUUACCUAACUUAGGAAGACCAACAAGCUUCAUUUCUUUGAAUUGCAUUCACUCCAAAAGUAUUUCAAUUAUUUUGUUUCCAAAUAAUUUUGAAGUCGAACACUUCUGUACUGCAGGUGGAGCAAUGAAGGCGCUAUUGCCACCGGCUUUGUUCAACAGCACAGUUAAAUUCAGAGAGUGGUGAAUGGAAGUCCUUCGGAUAAAUUUUUUGUUUGUGCUCCAGUUUCUUAAAAUAGUUGCAUGGCUUAAGUUUUCAGGCCUCCAUUGCAUAGUAAAACAACUUAAAUGAGAUAAGUGAUGCUCUGGAAGUAGAGUACCUGACUACCUAUUAACGAGUGAUGAAAUAAUCGAGAUAAAUUUGUAUAGGAUUACCGGAAUGGUAUUGGAUUCCGAAUCCCUUAUUAAUUUUGUAUUACAGCAGCCUCAAGAUAAAUAUGUUUAACUAAAUGAGUGAUGAAAUAAUCUGAGAAUUUUAUUUUGUUUCUACUGGUCUCAGGUAAUUGAAAGCAGUGGGAGGAACUAGAUGAAGUCAAGAGAACCUAUAUACGUCUGGAGGGUCAAAACAAGAUAGAAUUCGACCUCGUGCAUUUUGGUAUAGGAAGACUCUCUCAAUGCACCUAUCUUGCAAAGGGACCCAGAAGAGCUCACUCUUCAGGAAAAUCACAAUUGGACAUGCUUCACAGAUGCUGCCAUCACGCCUGACUAUCUUUAGGUGGGCCACAUAACCAGAGAAACAGGAAUAGGAAUUUCCCUUCAUUUUGCAAGGACAGAAGAGAUGCCACGCACCUCACUCGAAAUUCAAGCUGCAGCUGAGGCAGAAUUAGUCAUCCAAGCUGAACUCCAAGCAAUUCAACUUGCCACAACUAUCCUACAGUUUCUGCAGGCCACGGAUGUCCUGUUAUGUACAGGCUCACAGCUGUCUGCAACCUUCAUCCACCAGUGUCAAACACAUCUCCUGGAGGCUACGACCGCUUAUUUCAAAAAUACAUAGGAACACUUUGAAUACCAUCUGUACCUUCAAGAAAAUUAGCAGGAGCUCCAACUCUAGAGCACAUGUUUUAGCUACUACAAAGUUGGCCAUUAACACUGGCCUUGGGGACGAUCUAUCCCUCACUUUCUCUUGUGCUCAUCAAAAUGAUGGAUGCACCCACAUACAACGCAUCCGAGAUUGUCCAGCAGGCCCCCUGUCGACUGAUCAACAUUACUUGUACUGUUGAUUAUUAAUAAAGUUUGGGCAUUUCAUAAAAAAAA